Small nucleolar RNA from Lactuca sativa (garden lettuce), 107 nucleotides. The record is from RefSeq and is a predicted model, not a curated record. NCBI's taxonomy places the organism in Eukaryota, Viridiplantae, Streptophyta, Magnoliopsida, Asterales, Asteraceae.
AGGUCAUGUUGUGGGAAAUUUUGAAGUAACCCCUUGUAUAUUUCCCAUGCUUCAUAUAAAUACGCUCCACCUUGUUAUUCGAAGUUGGCUAUAUUCUUCUUCAAUUU